This is a long non-coding RNA of Penaeus indicus, 307 nucleotides long. RefSeq lists it as uncharacterized. NCBI's taxonomy places the organism in Eukaryota, Metazoa, Arthropoda, Malacostraca, Decapoda, Penaeidae. The transcript has 3 exons. The record is from RefSeq and is a predicted model, not a curated record.
CAGUGCUGACACGUAAGGAUUCAAUGAUGAGGUGGAUCGCUUUGACUUUCUUGUUGUCAUCCUUGAUGGUGGCGACAGAAGCGCGGCCCCAAGGAAAAAUCCCGCCUACAUUUCCUACACCCGGGCCUACAAUCACUCCAACCCCAUGCAACUUCCCGUUCCCACGGUGUCGUCCUCUUGCAACCAUCGAGAGGUUCGAUUCGCACGUGUAAGGAGGACUCCGGAGGGCCCUGCGAGUCUUCAGGAUGGUUUUCCUUGUCGUACACGUCCUUGGACUCUCUUAAGUGAUUUUCUUCAAGGUUUUUUA